Molecule: ribosomal RNA, 449 nt
Filed under: uncultured bacterium
Lineage: Bacteria
Description: partial 16S ribosomal RNA
Rfam family: Bacterial small subunit ribosomal RNA
Source: RNAcentral
AACGAACGCUGGCGGCAUGCCUAACACAUGCAAGUCGAACGAGAUCUUCGGGUCUAGUGGCGCACGGGUGCGUAACGCGUGGGAAUCUUCCCUUUGGUUCGGAAUAACAGUUGGAAACGACUGCUAAUACCGGAUGAUGACGAAAGUCCAAAGAUUUAUCGCCAGAGGAUGAGCCCGCGUAGGAUUAGCUAGUUGGUGGGGUAAAGGCGCACCAAGGCGACGAUCCUUAGCUGGUCUGAGAGGAUGAUCAGCCACACUGGGACUGAGACACGGCCCAGACUCCUACGGGAGGCAGCAGUGGGGAAUAUUGGACAAUGGGCGAAAGCCUGAUCCAGCAAUGCCGCGUGAGUGAUGAAGGCCUUAGGGUUGUAAAGCUCUUUUACCCGGGAUGAUAAUGACAGUACCGGGAGAAUAAGCUCCGGCUAACUCCGUGCCAGCAGCCGCCGCUG